RNAcentral lists this ribosomal RNA (900 nucleotides) under uncultured bacterium. RNAcentral describes it as "bacterial SSU rRNA". It matches the Rfam family "Bacterial small subunit ribosomal RNA", at positions 71 to 968 of the family's 1533-position model. The record is from RNAcentral.
UUUAAGUACUUGUACUUGAGAUAGUGGCGAACGGGUGAGUAAUGCCUAGGAAUCUGCCUAUUAGCGGGGGAUAACGUUCGGAAACGGACGCUAAUACCGCAUACGCCCUACGGGGGAAAGCAGGGGAUCUUCGGACCUUGCACUAAUAGAUGAGCCUAGGUCAGAUUAGCUAGUUGGUGGGGUAAAGGCCUACCAAGGCGACGAUCUGUAGCGGGUCUGAGAGGAUGAUCCGCCACACUGGAACUGAGACACGGUCCAGACUCCUACGGGAGGCAGCAGUGGGGAAUAUUGGACAAUGGGCGCAAGCCUGAUCCAGCCAUGCCGCGUGUGUGAAGAAGGCCUUUUGGUUGUAAAGCACUUUAAGCGGGGAGGAGGGUGCUCUUGUUAAUACCAAGAAGUAUCGGACGUUACCCGCAGAAUAAGCACCGGCUAACUCUGUGCCAGCAGCCGCGGUAAUACAGAGGGUGCGAGCGUUAAUCGGAAUUACUGGGCGUAAAGCGCGCGUAGGCGGUUAUUUAAGUCGGAUGUGAAAUCCCCGAGCUCAACUUGGGAAUUGCAUUCGAUACUGGUAGCUAGAGUAUGGGAGAGGAAGGUAGAAUUCCAGGUGUAGCGGUGAAAUGCGUAGAGAUCUGGAGGAAUACCGAUGGCGAAGGCAGCCUUCUGGCCUAAUACUGACGCUGAGGUGCGAAAGCAUGGGGAGCAAACAGGAUUAGAUACCCUGGUAGUCCAUGCCGUAAACGAUGUCAACUAGCCGUUGGGGCCUUUGAGGCUUUAGUGGCGCAGCUAACGCGAUAAGUUGACCGCCUGGGGAGUACGGUCGCAAGACUAAAACUCAAAUGAAUUGACGGGGGCCCGCACAAGCGGUGGAGCAUGUGGUUUAAUUCGAUGCAACGCGAAGAA